GCUAAUACCGGAUAACAACAGAUGAUGCCUAUCAACNGUUUAAAAGAAUGGUUCUGCUAUCACUCUUGGAUGGACCUGCGGUGCAUUAGCUAGUUGGUAGGGUAAACGGGCCUACCAAGGCGAUGAUGCAUAGCCGAGUUGAGAGACUGAUCGGCCACAUUGGGACUGAGACACGGCCCAAACUCCUACGGGAGGCAGCAGUA
This 203-nucleotide ribosomal RNA is filed under the name uncultured Lactobacillus sp. RNAcentral describes it as "partial 16S ribosomal RNA". It matches the Rfam family "Bacterial small subunit ribosomal RNA", at positions 162 to 355 of the family's 1533-position model. Lineage: Bacteria; Bacillati; Bacillota; Bacilli; Lactobacillales; Lactobacillaceae. The record is from RNAcentral.